This 819-nucleotide ribosomal RNA is filed under the name uncultured eukaryote. RNAcentral describes it as "SSU rRNA". It matches the Rfam family "Eukaryotic small subunit ribosomal RNA", at positions 629 to 1426 of the family's 1831-position model. The record is from RNAcentral.
CGGUGUUUAACUGGCGUGAUGUGGGACGUCCUACCGGUGGGCUUAGCCUCGCGAGGGGCGGCCCAACUAAUAUCCCGUCGCGGUGCUCUUUACUGAGUGUCGAGUCGGGCCGGUACGUUUACUUUGAACAAAUUAGAGUGCUUAAAGCAGGCUAUCCUCGCCUGAAUACUGCGUGCAUGGAAUAAUGGAAUAGGACCUCGGUUCUAUUUUGUUGGUUUUCGGAACCCCGAGGUAAUGAUUAAUAGGGACAGAUGGGGGCAUUCGUAUUGCGACGUUAGAGGUGAAAUUCUUGGAUCGUCGCAAGACGGACAGAAGCGAAAGCAUUUGCCAAAAAUGUUUUCAUUAAUCAAGAACGAAAGUUAGAGGUUCGAAGGCGAUCAGAUACCGCCCUAGUUCUAACCAUAAACGAUGCCAGCUAGCGAUCCGCCGAAGUUCCUCCGAUGACUCGGCGGGCAGCUUCCGGGAAACCAAAGCUUUUGGGUUCCGGGGGAAGUAUGGUUGCAAAGCUGAAACUUAAAGGAAUUGACGGAAGGGCACCACCAGGAGUGGAGCCUGCGGCUUAAUUUGACUCAACACGGGAAACCUCACCAGGCCCAGACACCGGAAGGAUUGACAGAUUGAUAGCUCUUUCUUGAUUCGGUGGGUGGUGGUGCAUGGCCGUUCUUAGUUGGUGGAGCGAUUUGUCUGGUUAAUUCCGAUAACGAACGAGACUCUAGCCUGCUAAAUAGGCGUACCUUAUGGUAUCGCGAAGGCCCCCGGCCUCGGCCGGUGGGUUUUUACUACCAACGUACAAACAAAUCUUCUUAGAGGGACAGGCGG